UAGAGUUUGAUCAUGGCUCAGGACGAACGCUGGCGGCGUGCCUAACACAUGCAAGUCGAACGAGAAACCCAUUUGUGAUCCCUUCGGGGUGAACUGUUGGGUGGAAAGUGGCGGACGGGCGAGUAACGCGUGAGUAACCUGCCCAUAAGAGGGGGAUAAUCCUUGGAAACGAGGACUAAUACCGCAUAUUGAAAUUUUAUGGCAUCAUAGAAUUUUGAAAGAUUUAUCGCUUAUGGAUGGACUCGCGUCAGAUUAGCUGGUUGGUGAGGUAACGGCUCACCAAGGCGACGAUCUGUAGCCGAACUGAGAGGUUGAUCGGCCGCAUUGGGACUGAGACACGGCCCAGACUCCUACGGGAGGCAGCAGUGGGGAAUAUUGCGCAAUGGGGGCAACCCUGACGCAGCAACGCCGCGUGCAGGAAGAAGGUCUUCGGAUUGUAAACUGUUGUCGCAGGGGAAGAAGACAGUGACGGUACCCUGUGAGAAAGUCACGGCUAACUACGUGCCAGCAGCCGCGGUAAUACGUAGGUGACAAGCGUUGUCCGGAUUUACUGGGUGUAAAGGGCGCGUAGGCGGGAUAGCAAGUCAGUCGUGAAAUGCCGAGGCUUAACCUCGGAGCUGCGAUUGAAACUGUUAUUCUUGAGUAUCGGAGAGGAAAGCGGAAUUCCUAGUGUAGCGGUGAAAUGCGUAGAUAUUAGGAGGAGCACCAGUGGCGAAGGCGGCUUUCUGGACGACAACUGACGCUGAGGCGCGAAAGUGUGGGGAGCAAACAGGAUUAGAUACCCUGGUAGUCCACACCGUAAACGAUGGAUACUAGGUGUAGGAGGUAUCGACCCCUUCUGUGCCGCAGUUAACACAAUAAGUAUCCCACCUGGGG
RNAcentral lists this ribosomal RNA (876 nucleotides) under uncultured bacterium. Its description in RNAcentral is "bacterial SSU rRNA". It matches the Rfam family "Bacterial small subunit ribosomal RNA", at positions 1 to 878 of the family's 1533-position model. The record is from RNAcentral.